GACGAACGCUGGCGGCAGGCUUAACACAUGCAAGUCGAGCGAAGACUUCGGUCUUAGCGGCAGACGGGUGAGUAACGCGUGGGAAUCUACCCAUCCCUACGGAAUAGCUCCGGGAAACUGGAAUUAAUACCGUAUACGCCCUUCGGGGGAAAGAUUUAUCGGGGAUGGAUGAGCCCGCGUUGGAUUAGCUAGUUGGUGGGGUAAAAGCCUACCAAGGCGACGAUCCAUAGCUGGUCUGAGAGGAUGAUCAGCCACAUUGGGACUGAGACACGGCCCAAACUCCUACGGGAGGCAGCAGUGGGGAAUAUUGGACAAUGGGCGCAAGCCUGAUCCAGCCAUGCCGCGUGAGUGAUGAAGGCCCUAGGGUUGUAAAGCUCUUUCAACGGUGAAGAUAAUGACGGUAACCGUAGAAGAAG
RNAcentral lists this ribosomal RNA (416 nucleotides) under Rhizobiales bacterium S91. Its description in RNAcentral is "bacterial SSU rRNA". It matches the Rfam family "Bacterial small subunit ribosomal RNA", at positions 28 to 490 of the family's 1533-position model. The record is from RNAcentral. Lineage: Bacteria; Pseudomonadati; Pseudomonadota; Alphaproteobacteria; Hyphomicrobiales.